AUGAACGCUGGCGGCGUGCCUAAUACAUGCAAGUCGAGCGAACGGACGAGAAGCUUGCUUCUCUGAUGUUAGCGGCGGACGGGUGAGUAACACGUGGAUAACCUACCUAUAAGACUGGGAUAACUUCGGGAAACCGGAGCUAAUACCGGAUGAUAUUUUGAACCGCAUGGUUCAAAAGUGAAAGACGGUCUUGCUGUCACUUAUAGAUGGAUCCGCGCUGCAUUAGCUAGUUGGUAAGGUAACGGCUUACCAAGGCAACGAUGCAUAGCCGACCUGAGAGGGUGAUCGGCCACACUGGAACUGAGACACGGUCAAGACUCCUACGGGAGGCAGCAGUAGGGAAUCUUCCGCAAUGGGCGAAAGCCUGACGGAGCAACACCGCGUGAGUGAUGAAGGUCUUCGGAUCGUAAAACUCUGUCAUUAGGGAAGAACAUAUGUGUAAGUAACUGUGCACAUCUUGACGGUACCUAAUCAGAAAGCCACGGCUAACUACGUG
Molecule: ribosomal RNA, 496 nt
Filed under: uncultured bacterium
Lineage: Bacteria
Description: partial 16S ribosomal RNA
Rfam family: Bacterial small subunit ribosomal RNA
Source: RNAcentral